GGGGAAUAUUGCACAAUGGGGGAAACCCUGAUGCAGCAACGCCGCGUGAAGGAUGAAGGUUUUCGGAUUGUAAACUUCUUUAGUCAGGGACGAAUAAAUGACGGUACCCACAGAAGAAGCCCCGGCUAACUUCGUGCCAGCAGCCGCGGUAAUACGAAGGGGGCUAGCGUUGUUCGGAUUUACUGGGCGUAAAGCGCACGUAGGCGGAUUGUUAAGUGAGGGGUGAAAUCCCAGGGCUCAACCCUGGAACUGCCUCUCAUACUGGCAAUCUCGAGUCCGGAAGAGGUGAGUGGAACUCCUAGUGUAGAGGUGGAAUUCGUAGAUAUUAGGAAGAACACCAGUGGCGAAGGCGGCUCACUGGUCCGGUACUGACGCUGAGGUGCGAAAGCGUGGGGAGCAAACA
RNAcentral lists this ribosomal RNA (403 nucleotides) under uncultured Hyphomicrobiales bacterium. RNAcentral describes it as "bacterial SSU rRNA". It matches the Rfam family "Bacterial small subunit ribosomal RNA", at positions 356 to 774 of the family's 1533-position model. Lineage: Bacteria; Pseudomonadati; Pseudomonadota; Alphaproteobacteria; Hyphomicrobiales. The record is from RNAcentral.